This 1167-nucleotide long non-coding RNA is filed under the name Bos indicus x Bos taurus (hybrid cattle). RNAcentral's name for it is "lncRNA (ENSBIXG00000018907.1)". Lineage: Eukaryota; Metazoa; Chordata; Mammalia; Artiodactyla; Bovidae. The record is from RNAcentral.
UCCCUUGCGCGCGGCUCCAGGUUCCCAGUGCCGAGUCUAGGGCGGUGGGUACGGGGGCCACGCCCUACUGCGCAGAGGCUGGACACACCCCAAGGCUGCACGGCACCCCAGAAGGCCCCUCCCAAGUCACGCGGGUCUCAGAUGCCCCGCAAACGCACCGAAGCGGGUGCAUAACGUGAACCCGAGAUGCACCCCAGCACGGGGUGUCCGUACGGGGCACGGCGCCCAGUGAGUCAGGCAGAGUGGGUGUCACCGCCGGAGUGAGUCACCAAGAGGGUGUGCGCCCCUCGUGGGCGGUGCCAGGAGCCUGGGGAGCGGGCUGCGCCCGCCCCAGGAAGGCCACGCCCCAGUUGGGGACUAGGCAGAUUCCCCCCACUUCCUUCCGCGAAGCUUCCUUCUGCGAUCCAGAGAGGCUGUUGAGGGCCGGGGAGGGGCGCGUGAUGCGCCCCAGUCCGCGGCCGAGGGGCUUCCCGGGAAGGGCGGGUGCGCCGGGAACGCUGGCGGCCGGGUCCGGAAGGGCCGCGCGGCUGCCGCGCCCCCGCCCCGCAGCCUCAGUUUCCGAUGACGCGUCUGCAGAAACCCCGACGCGGCCCCCAGGCUCCGCUGCCCGGUUUCACUUCCCCUCCCCCUGCCCGGCGUGAGGCGCGGGGCUCAGUCUGCCUCGGAUUCCAACGGGGGUGGGCACGGGGGCGCUUCCGGCCGUGGGGCUGGGUCGACGAAGGGGUUACGACGGGGCGGCCCGCCCCCGCCCAGGCCCCUCCUCUCCACGCCUGCGCCGGCACCGGGGGUGGGGCCGCGCGGUACCCGGCCGCCCCGAGAUCGACCCCCUCCCCCGCGAGGGGCGGGAUUAGGUUCAGGCCACGGUGGGGGCCGAGCGGGCCGCGACAACCCCCACUCCGCAGCCUGGGCGCGCGGUCCGCGGGGCCCGGAGGCGGCGCUAGCUCGGGAAGGAGGGGGUCGAGCGGCAGGAAGUGCGCUCUCCCACCGCGUCCUGAGCACAGUGACCCCCUCCCGUCCGACGCGCGGGGGAGAAUUGGGAUGGCGGGAGAGAGAGGGGUACCCUGGGGAGGAGGCGCCUCGCGGGCACGUUGCGCUGGAGCGAGCCCUCGCUCAGGGGGAUGGGGCAGGAAGGAAGAGGCCUUGGGCAGCUGGCGUGUGCCCCAGUGA